This 675-nucleotide long non-coding RNA is filed under the name Equus caballus (horse). RNAcentral describes it as "lncRNA (ENSECAG00000032862.3)". Lineage: Eukaryota; Metazoa; Chordata; Mammalia; Perissodactyla; Equidae. The record is from RNAcentral.
GGCAAAAUGAUCCGGCCUCUCUUAAAGGUUGCUGAUGCGGCUCUGGCCAGGAUGCAGGCCAGGUGGGUGAACAGGCAGGCCUGGAGCCAAGAAUAUUCAGGGAUGCUUAUGGAGGUGACAUAGGCUGACGUCUGGAUGCCAUCCAGCCCAGCACCUGGGAAGAUGAGAAUAAGAGUGGAGAAUCCACAGCUGAUGACAGCAAGGGUGUGGACUUGUUGCAAGGAAGGCCAGGCUGUCCACGCGACUCAGCAGCUGCACAACGUGACCAACAGCCGAUGAGAAGAAACCCUGGACGUCCCCCUCUAGAACAACCAGUGGACGUUUCCCACAUUUGUUGUACUUAUUAUUUAAUAUUAUUAUUAUUAUUGGCAGUAGUGGUAGCAGCAGUAGUCUUUAUAAAAACCUUUGAGAGUAAACUGCAGACUUCAUGAUGCUUUACCUCUUAAAUUCGUAUGUCUCCUAAUAGCAAAGACAUUCUUUCCCACAGUAAAGUGACCAAAUCUGGGAAAUUUAACAAUGAUACAAUAUUAUUACGUAAUUCACAGUCUAUAUUCAAAUUUGCCAAUUGUCCCAAUGAUGUUCUUUAUAACAUUUUUUUUUCCAAUUCAGGAUCACAUAUAAUUGUCAUGUGCUUUUUUGCCUUAUACAAGAAAUAUUUGUCUAUUCCAGUGUCAC